RNAcentral lists this long non-coding RNA (380 nucleotides) under Elaeis guineensis (African oil palm). RNAcentral describes it as "long non-coding RNA (EGUI_LNC005916)". The record is from RNAcentral. Lineage: Eukaryota; Viridiplantae; Streptophyta; Magnoliopsida; Arecales; Arecaceae.
CUAAUAAGACUUCACGGACAAAAUUUUAUUUUUACUUUUAAGUCACUGAAUUUUUGACUACUACAAAAUUAUGUGCUAACAUGCUCAAAAGUUUAUAAAUUAAUAUUUAUCUAAAACCACAAUUUACUUUAAGAGGUUAAUAAUAUCAUUAUUAAUAUUAUGAGAUUAGUUUAAGGGCUUUUUUCUUAAUAGAAUGAAAUGGGUCGGGUCUAGCCAAAUUAAGUCACCUCAGAUAAUUGAUCAACUUGAUCUCUUUGCAGCCUUACAUCUAUUGUCUUUUAUUUUAAUUUUUUUUUCUAUAUCUCUCUUCUAAAUGUCAUAUAGUAUCUUGAACCGUAUAUGUUGGACGGCUAGAUUAUUGUUGGCUUCACCACAGUGCC